This 27-nucleotide non-coding RNA is filed under the name Rattus norvegicus (Norway rat). Lineage: Eukaryota; Metazoa; Chordata; Mammalia; Rodentia; Muridae. The record is from RNAcentral.
UGAAGGAACAAGCUUAGAGAGGCAGGC